Molecule: non-coding RNA, 107 nt
Organism: Capsicum annuum
Lineage: Eukaryota; Viridiplantae; Streptophyta; Magnoliopsida; Solanales; Solanaceae
Source: Rfam
UUAUAAUGGUGAGGGCAAUAUCUGAGCAUGCCCUUAAAUCUUUCCGAAUCUUGAUAAAUAUUUUCUACUUCUUUUUGUGUAAAACUCAAAAUCUCACUUCACAAGUA